GGCCCGCUAGCUCAACUGGUAGAGCAGCUGACUCUUAAUCAGCAGGUUCAGGGUUCGAGCCCCUGGCGGGUCACCA
RNAcentral lists this transfer RNA (76 nucleotides) under SAR202 cluster bacterium. RNAcentral's name for it is "tRNA-Lys". It matches the Rfam family "tRNA". From Rfam's summary of the family: Transfer RNA (tRNA) molecules are approximately 80 nucleotides in length. Their secondary structure includes four short double-helical elements and three loops (D, anti-codon, and T loops). The record is from RNAcentral. Lineage: Bacteria; Bacillati; Chloroflexota; Dehalococcoidia.